UACGGAGGGUGCGAGCGUUAUCCGGAAUUACUGGGUUUAAAGGGUGCGUAGGCGGCCCUGUAAGUCAGGAGUGAAAGUUUGCGGCUCAACCGUAAAAUUGCUUUUGAUACUGCGGGGCUAGAGUUAGGAUGAGGUCAGCGGAAUGUGGCAUGUAGCGGUGAAAUGCAUAGAUAUUGGUUGGAACAUCAAUAGCGACAGCAUCACUCUAUUUUAGGACUGACACUGAAUCACUAAAGUGUGGGUAGCAAACCGG
This 253-nucleotide ribosomal RNA is filed under the name uncultured bacterium. RNAcentral describes it as "partial 16S ribosomal RNA". It matches the Rfam family "Bacterial small subunit ribosomal RNA", at positions 524 to 776 of the family's 1533-position model. The record is from RNAcentral.